Molecule: long non-coding RNA, 1794 nt
Organism: Triticum aestivum (bread wheat)
Lineage: Eukaryota; Viridiplantae; Streptophyta; Magnoliopsida; Poales; Poaceae
Exons: 2
Source: RefSeq, a predicted model, not a curated record
GCAUUGGACAUCGGCGCAUUGGACAUCCUCGACACGGACAGAAAGCUUCAAAAUCUUCAGAAUGAGAUCCAAAGAAAAUGACCCGCAUCUCCAUCCUCACCUUUUCCCCAUCUUGUUUGGGCUUCAGAUCGAUGCAGACAAUGCCGUGGGAUGGGGGUAGCGCGACCUGUGCUGGGGCCUCCAGCGGCGGGGUAGGCGCCGACGACCGCAUCGACGUCGUCCCGGUUGUGCUCGUCCUCUUGCGGCAUCCUCAGGACGACAGCUCGCGCCGCCGCCCACCCUCUAGCUCUUGCCGUCGGGGCGAGCAUCGCCACACCUUCCUACUGCCGCCACUGCGCACGAGCUCAGAUCUGGAGGCGCGGAGGCGUCAGGCCCGAGAUGAGGGGGAGGGGCGAGGCAGGGAGGUGGCGGAGAAUAGGAGGGAGUGGCUGCGGUGAGGGAAGGGAUGAUGAAGAGGUGAGGUUUUCCUUCGUUGGGAAGGCAAAUCCUCUUGGACGAGGUGUUAUCUUCCAUGACACACAAAGAUUUUUUUUCUCCAAUCAAUGUGUGCCGCCGUGGAAUGUGCGUUUUGCCCAAUCCGUUCUCUAGCUGAGUUUUGUUUUGUCGUACCUGUGCCGACGUGGAUUGCGUGAGAGAGCGCCCAGCUUUCGUAGCUUAUUGUAUUGGAUGUCAUGUAUCACGAGUAAUGUAUGUCUCGAAGAAAAAAUCAUCACGACUAUUGUUCGAGUUGAUUCUCAGUCGAACAGAUGAAAGAGAUGGUAUGUUACAUUAUUGCUCACAGGUGACAUGCCCAUGGCAAGUCAGUCUGGAUCUCAAGCAGAUAAGCAAUUCUUCUCGUAACUCCGAGGACAAACGAACACUCGUGCUACAUUGUUGAUCACCCCGGUAAAAAUAAAGCCCAACAACCGGCUUGGAUUCAUCAGAUGUUGAGAUUGCGAAACUACCACACGACCUCGGGGUGCUUCAAUCGGGAUCGUGCGGCUGCUGGCGAUAUGCGCUGGGGCAGUUGCUCGACUGCGGGCGUGAGUGGCCUGGGCGUUGACCCGCGGGGCUAAUUUUGCUUUGCCGCUGUGGUCCUUUUCUUCCUCCGCCUCGUCGACGGGGAGCUCUGCUGCGACGUCCGUUGUCCUCCUGCGCAACAUCCUGUCCACAGGAGCUUGGGACUGACCAUGGUUUUCUCCUCGGCGGAGCCGUUUCCGGCAAUCAGUGUCUCCUCACCGGCUUCCGCGUUUGCCUAUGUCCAAGUCGAUCUCGCAUUCGAGUGCGGUGAGAAUCGCCGUUCCUCCUCCCGCUCACCCUGGUCGUAUGCACCUGAACGCAGGCCCGCCAUGCAUGAGCUUGAGCUUGAGCAUGGGAGCUCGGCCGAUGCACACACAACAGGCACGCAAGGCCGCGCCCCGCUGCACCAUGCUUGUGCUCAUCCGCACCCCCAAGAUGCCAAGGGGAAGCCUGGUAAUUGACGGUGAAGCUCCGUCGCGAGCAGCAGCCAUGGCUGCAGACCAAGUGAAGCCUGGUACCUACAUGCCUGAUAGAAAACCUCGCGCUGAUACUACAACAUGAAACUCACUACAACCAAGUGGCUAGUGCUAUGAAUCAUAACCCAGGCCACGAGGGAUCGAUCCCUAGUUUUGCCCAAUUUUUUGUAUUUCUGUUUUUUUUCCAUGCUCGUGUUGAGCAGUUUGUGGGUGGUAAAAAGAACAGUAGGUAAUGAGGAUCAUUCUGGGCCCCCCAAAAAAUUGUUGACAAUUACCGUGGUAACAAUUUUGACCCCAGAAAAAAGAGUUGUUGAAAACA